AAGUCGUAACAAGGUUUCCGUAGGUGAACCUGCGGAAGGAUCAUUAACGAGUUUUAAUGAGUGGGACUUGAUGCUGGCCUCCCCUGGCACUUGUGCUCAGUCCCUCUCGCUCAUAUCCAUUCAACCUCUGUGCAUUACCUUCGAGUCGCUGUGAGUCUUGUCUCUCCUCUUGGGGGGAGACUUGAUUAGCUCGACUUCGGAUUAUCACACAUAUAAACACUUGUCAGAAUGUAAAGCUUAAUAUUAAUUAUUAAAUACAACUUUCAACAACGGAUCUCUUGGCUCUC
Molecule: unclassified non-coding RNA, 287 nt
Filed under: air metagenome
Description: partial contains small subunit ribosomal RNA, internal transcribed spacer 1, and 5.8S ribosomal RNA
Rfam family: Eukaryotic small subunit ribosomal RNA (bases 1-46)
Source: RNAcentral